UUUCACCUCCAAAUCUUGCUCAAACCUUCACCAAAUUCAACCAAAAUUUAACUACGCUUAGCUCAACACUUGGGAAGUCCAUCUAGCUGCAAAAGAAAGGAGCUCUCCACGGUUUUCUUCAGGCUUCAAAGGGCCGAAAAUUCUGACUUGAACAACCAUCAAAGUAGGUAAUGAUCCAACACUCUAAACUUAUCCUAUGGAGGUUAAAUUACACAUAUGAGCUUGAAUCUUUACAUGGGUAACUUGUAUUGUUGGAAAAUUUUGAUGGUGGGAUCUACGAACUCCCACCCUUGGCUUGUUGGCUGAUGAAAUGAUUGAUGUUGGAUAUAAUGCUGGUUUAGUGUUAAAAUGGUGGAUUAAUGGUGUAUUAUUAGUAGAAACUUCAAGGAACUCAUGGGAUAGAAAUUUCUGAUUUUGUCCCUGCCUUGUUCGGUUAUUUUAAGGCCAAUUUUUUAUGAUCUAAUGGCUUGAAUAUGAUGUUUAUAUGUUGUAUUAGUUGUAUAAAAAUUUUCAUUGGAAAAUAUUAAAGUUUGGUUGGGCAAAUGAAUUUCUUUGUGAAACUAGUCAAGCUGGAAAACUGUUUCCGUGUAGCUCUGUCCAGUGAUAGUGUUUCGGCCGUAACUUUGUCCUCCGAUGUCGAAAUCGAGUACCGUCGGUAGUAUUUGAAACUAGACAUCCACGCAUUUCCAACGGUAUAAAACGCACAUUUUGGUUCCAAGUGUGUGAGCCAAACCAAUCGUUUUAAGAAGGCUGCCCUGUUUCUCUAUUCUGCUGAAAUGAUUUGAUGAUGCUGCAACUUUAGGCUUAAUUUCGAGCCAGUUGCAUGCUGAAUCUUAAAACGAUUUCCCCUGUGAAAUUAUAUCCCUAUGAAUUUAUUUUCUAACACUAUAAACUAUGCUCAAAUCCGAGUUAAAUUGAGUGAGUUAUGAUCAAAAUACGGUGACUGCCUUGUCCUUGAAAACCCUAGGAUUUGGACAGAUUCGAUGUGAGACUUGUUGUGGUCUUACUAAAUGAAUUUCUUGGUGCUAAACACCUACUAAAUGUACCAUGUAUGUUCAUUAGACCUUUCUUGCACAAAUGAACCAUGUUUGGAGGUUCCUUAACCGAAUGUUUGGAAACCGAGAGAAAGGGAGCUAAAGGCAGUUUUGCCUUAGUAAUUUCAAAACUUUGGUUGAUUGGUUAACCACCUUCCUGAAGGUAUUUUUCCACAAAAUUUGAUAGAGAGAUACCCUUCAUAUAGGAGUACUAUACUGAAAAAUUUGGCACCAAUCCAAGUCCGUUUCGACACUUAACUAAAGGUCCGAAGUCGGAAACCCAAAUCUGGAAAUUGUUCAACAGUCUUGAAUUUUUCCCAACUUUGAGCUACCAUAUCUUGGUGCUCGAAACUCCGAUUCUCGAUCCGCUUGUUCUGUCCUAAACCUUACUUGCACCUCUAAUUGAGUUAUAAAUUUUAAGGGCUGGUUUGCAAUGAGUGAAUUCUACCGAAUUUCCAAAGUUAGCGAAAAACCAACCCCGGCUCAAUCCUGGGGUGAUCUGGAACAGCAACUUUAAACUCAUUUUUGAAUACCUUCCACUUAGAUUCGUGGAACCGUUCUAGGAACUUUUAGUACCUUCAAAGAGGUUUCCAACGGUACCAAGUUUUUCAAUUUUUGACUAGUAGAAAAGAAGUUAUGAUUUUUCAAAGAUUUUACCAAAAAUCGAGAAUUCCGGAAUUUCAAAGGAAUCCGCGCGGGAAGCAUUUUUCUAGAAUCCGGCCUUGAAUCCGGCCAGUUUCUGGCCGGAUAGGCGGCCGGAUUGUAGUUGGGAUUUGAAAAAAAAAUGAGGAUGGCUGCUGCCUCCAAUCCGGCCAAGAUUCCGGCCGGAUAUCCGGCCAAGAUUCCGGCCGGAUUGUAACGUGGCCAGUCCACUUUCAACUUUGGUCGUUCAUUUUGAGAUUUAUUCGCACGUACUCGUUUCCAUCCAAUGAUUUCAAGAAUAAUAAUCCGAUCUUACUCGAGUCUCGCACCCUUUUUGCGAAUCCAACUUCAAAGACAAACUCAAACGAAAUUUCCAAAAUAUUUCCAGACCACAUUUGUGUUCGAUCUCCUCGUCUCUUGGGGACCUAUAGUAAUGGUCUUCUAUUCGAUGUUCAGGCACGCACGAGGACCUCCAAGAGGACCCUACCGUGGAAGUUUGAACUCUCAAUCCAACCUGCUUGC
RNAcentral lists this long non-coding RNA (2198 nucleotides) under Coffea arabica (coffee). RNAcentral's name for it is "long non-coding RNA (CARA_LNC006829)". The record is from RNAcentral. Lineage: Eukaryota; Viridiplantae; Streptophyta; Magnoliopsida; Gentianales; Rubiaceae.